GUUGGGUGUGGUUAUUAUGAGUUUCGUCUCGAGUCCGGUAUCUAGUUAUGAUGACUUGGGAGUUCUAGUACUGAUUUUUGAUAUUCUGGGAGUUGCGGUUCAUUUAAGUUUUGAUUCGAGUCCGACAUCUGAUUAUAUGUUCUGUUUAUAUCAUAUAUGUGGCCUCUCGUUAUUACCCAUUAUCUCCGGUUCGAAUCCGCCAUAUGGCCUCUUGUUAUUAUCCAUCACUACUGGUUUGAGACCGACGUCUAGUGUCUUGUUAAUACCCAUUGGUGCCG
Molecule: long non-coding RNA, 278 nt
Filed under: Capsicum annuum
Lineage: Eukaryota; Viridiplantae; Streptophyta; Magnoliopsida; Solanales; Solanaceae
Description: long non-coding RNA (CANN_LNC016052)
Source: RNAcentral